RNAcentral lists this long non-coding RNA (228 nucleotides) under Ananas comosus (pineapple). RNAcentral describes it as "long non-coding RNA (ACOM_LNC035817)". The record is from RNAcentral. Lineage: Eukaryota; Viridiplantae; Streptophyta; Magnoliopsida; Poales; Bromeliaceae.
GUUGUGCUCGACGAGAAAUUCUACACUGUCACACUUGCACCACGUCAUCAAUAACAAGCCAAUCACAUUCAUUCUUUUCAAACAAAAGUACAAUAAAAAUACUUUUUUACAAUCAUGAUGGGACAUAUAUUCUUAAAAGGAUUAAUUUGAUUGGUUUGUUACGCCACGUCACUAAUAUACCUGUUGCAUUCUAGAAUUUUUCGUGCUCGACUGUAUUUGUCAGUUCGG